RNAcentral lists this small RNA (1498 nucleotides) under Rattus norvegicus (Norway rat). RNAcentral's name for it is "uncharacterized LOC103692065". The record is from RNAcentral. Lineage: Eukaryota; Metazoa; Chordata; Mammalia; Rodentia; Muridae.
UUCCUCUAUUCUAUAUAAACACAUAUCCAAGAUAUGUUUCUUAGUAGAUGUUGUGCCCUUUAUGACAUGACCUCACCCAAAGCUACUUAACUUCUGUUUUUCGCCUUAGUGUAUUUCUUCGUGCUUCAUGUAUAACAGUUACAGGAUCUUGACCUCCUUACCCUGAGAUAAACCCUCGUAGCAAGGCUAAGUGAAUCAGAAGCUCUGGACCUUCCUUUAGGGAAAGAGCUGGAGUUUAUGAAUAUAUACACUCCCUCUCUUCUUGUCUCAUUGUCGCUUGUCUCCAAGGAAAUUAUAAAAUGUCUUUACAUUCCAUAUUUGGAGACAGGUAGCUGUCAAUUCUUUGUCAUGACAUGAUAAGAACCCUCAUAUGGGAGCAAGAAAAAAAUCACCAAAAACGGAGGGGACUUCAAAUAUUGUAAAUUCAAGCAUAUGACCCUGAAGUCUAGAUCUGGGGAGUAUACUCUGCUUUGAGGGAUUAGGACAUUUUCUGCUUACAAGACUUCACCUCAUCAUCUUUCUCUGCUGAAAUAAUCAUAGUAACUUGGUGUGUCUGCUUCACAGAUACAGACUCUUCUGGAAGAAGCUUAGAGUUCGGGAUCACAACUUCAAAGGGAGUCAGGAGUUCUCGUUGGCCCUAUAAAACAAGGGUAUCUUCAAUGAACAGCGAUCCAGUAAAGAAUGACCACAGCAGAAGAGAUUAUAAAUUGCUGUAGAAUUAUUUUCUCCACCAGUUUCCAAACUGUUAGGAUGUUAAGAGACAAGCUGCACAGCCCUUUGACAGUUGUGAGUUCCAAAGAAAUUUCCUCCUGGAUUUAUGGAAUCUGUCUCUACCCUUCACUACGUUCAUAUGUAUAUAAGACUGUACUGCCGCGCCAAAUCAAACUUUCAACAGUCAAUUGACCUUCUCCAGUUCAAGACAAGAACCGAGCUCAAGAGAAAUGACUCCAUUCUGAUCUCAGAGUAUGAUUAUUCCCUCGGGACAGGAUGUGCCUCAUGGGAAGUUCAUGGUCAAAGCCAAUCCAGCCACAAGCGCAGAACCACAUCCAACAGUAAAGAUACUAGAAAUGGAAUUGCUAUUGUCAAAUCAUGCACCACCUUAAGGAAGUCUUGACCAAAAGCCAAAUUGAAGCCGUGGAUCCAAGCUGCCCAGUAAACAGCUAAAGAAUCUGCAUUAAAAAGACCACGAGGGAUAACAAAUCUAUGGCCAUCCAAACUUACAUGUGUCAGAAUGUCCCAUGCCACAGAAGGAACCACACAUACAUGCAAAUGCAUCUAAUUCAUAUACGUCCCUUGUGAUCAUGACUUGGGAAGGUGUUUGAGCACAAAGGAAGCAGAAGGCUAACAGACAGUGGGAUUCUGGUACAACUUACCAGAAGUCAUCACCCAUGAUGGUGUGGGAUUUUGAGGUGAUGAAGUUGUCUCAGCGUCACCCAUGCUCCUGUAAGUAACCUCUCCACCAUGCUUUUAAAUAAGUCCAUCAUGCUGGAUUUUGGCA